GUAAACUUUGUUAACGUGUUUGUUAUGUUUAGUUCUUUUGAAGUUUGAGUGGGAGAGGAAAUCUAAGGAGAGAUGUUAAGCAGUUUAAAGUUUCAUUUUGGGAAUUAGCUGUUAUUAACUCUGAGAAAUAUGGGUCGUGAACGUUGGAGUUCAGAAGUUGAAUUUAUUCUAGCUAUGAUUGGAUGGAAUGCUCUAGGACCACAUGGAGUUGUACAUACUUACAUGAUGCUGGAAAAUGGUGGAACAAGAAAUACAAACCACAUUAUGUGGUCACCAUACAGCCGUGGUGCUUCUGAAGAGUUAACUGAUUUUCAAGCUACUGAACUUUGAUUUGGUUAUUUGUUAACUUUGUGUCAAGUGA
This is a long non-coding RNA of Limulus polyphemus (Atlantic horseshoe crab), 361 nucleotides long. RefSeq lists it as uncharacterized. The transcript is spliced from 3 exons. NCBI's taxonomy places the organism in Eukaryota, Metazoa, Arthropoda, Merostomata, Xiphosura, Limulidae. The record is from RefSeq and is a predicted model, not a curated record.